Nycticebus coucang (slow loris) is the source of this 103-nucleotide small nuclear RNA. NCBI's taxonomy places the organism in Eukaryota, Metazoa, Chordata, Mammalia, Primates, Lorisidae. The record is from RefSeq and is a predicted model, not a curated record.
GUGCUAGUUUUGGUACAUGUACUAAACUCAGAAGGAUAUAGAAAAGAUUAGCUUGGCCCUGAACAAGGAUGACACAAAAGUUCAUAAGCAUUUCACAUUUUAU